Long non-coding RNA from Cygnus olor (mute swan), 727 nucleotides. RefSeq lists it as uncharacterized. NCBI's taxonomy places the organism in Eukaryota, Metazoa, Chordata, Aves, Anseriformes, Anatidae. The record is from RefSeq and is a predicted model, not a curated record. The transcript is spliced from 3 exons.
UUAAUUGCAUAUUUUGUGAGUAGUUUUCUUUGCAGUGUCUGGAUUUCUUCUAGGCUUGUUACUUGGAGAUUUCUGUAAGGUUCUCUACAGGCCCAGUGAGGCUAUUGCUCUGCAGACCUUUAGUUUCACCUUCCACCUUUGCGAAGGUAGAAAAAGACAUUGUGUAUAGAGGGCUAAAAGAUAAUUUUGCUUACACAGUGGUAAGAAUCCAAGGAGAUCCUGCAGUCUUUAAUUUGGGUUAAACAAGUCUGCAAACCAUUGUGCUGAGGGCUGAGACAUACACACCUGGGUGUAAUAUGUUUGUUAGUUACUGGUGUUCAGAGCUAUGGGACAUUCUCCUUUUCAUCGCUAUUGAUUCAUUAAGAAAGCCUGUGUAAGGGAAACUGUAUGUGACAACGUGUGUUUCUCUCAUUCUUAUGGCCAGCAACUACCCCAGCAGAUCAAAAGAAACAGAAGAGUAUUACUUGGUAUGUGUGGAGUUGUCUUCCUCAGAGACUUUGUGACAUAAUUCCAUUGUUUAUAAAAACUUCAGUUUAACAUGUCAGCUACUGAAAUAUUCCUGAUAUCCACAAAGGAUCAAGAGACGGUGGCUAGACAACUCCAUUUUCCUCGUUGUGAUGGGUACCGAGGGCAGCUUGCAGGAUGCUGCUGAGGUGGUGUGGUUUCACAAGAUUUUAUGAAUGGAAGACAGGAUCAAGUAAGUGCUCAAGGGAUGAGAAAGGGAAGA